RNAcentral lists this long non-coding RNA (545 nucleotides) under Salvia miltiorrhiza (redroot sage). RNAcentral describes it as "long non-coding RNA (SMIL_LNC005492)". The record is from RNAcentral. Lineage: Eukaryota; Viridiplantae; Streptophyta; Magnoliopsida; Lamiales; Lamiaceae.
UUGGGUGUAUAUCUCUCUCAAGCCUCUUGAAUUUGAAUAAACAAAUUUGAUCAACCAAAGUUGUUGCCAACUUCUGGAACCACAUCCUCAAUCUAAACAAUAAUUCGCUAUAUAAGAAAAUACUAAUAAUUAAGCUUAUAUAAUAAAUUUAAAUUAUCAGGGUGUUACAAAUAAUAUCUCUGCGAGGCAUUUUCACAAACAUCUUCUGCGCAGUUCUCCAAAUUUCUGCACUUCAUUUUAAUGACAACUCUUUGCUAAUAAUAUCUCUGCGAGGCAUUUUCACAAACACCUUCUGCGCAGUUCUCCAAAUACAUUGACCAACGCAUACAUAUCUUGUUUAUUGUUCUUUUUCUACAAAGCAUUGGUUUUGAUUGAAUAAUACAAACACGUUUCACAUUCUAAUCUCUUAUUACUACUCGAAAUCAAUCACACAAACCACCAUCAAACCUUGAUGGGAAUCGCCCAAAGAGGGGUUUUCUUCUGCAGCGCCAGCCCAAACACAUCCUCUCUCUGCAACCUUUUGCUUUCAUUCCCUCUCUNNNNNN